This 250-nucleotide unclassified non-coding RNA is filed under the name plant metagenome. RNAcentral describes it as "partial contains small subunit ribosomal RNA, internal transcribed spacer 1, and 5.8S ribosomal RNA". The record is from RNAcentral.
GUAGGUGAACCUGCGGAAGGAUCAUUCAUAACAAGUGUUUUAUGGCACUUUUUAAAUCCAUAUCCACCUUGUGUGCAAUGUCGGUUGGUCUCUUUGAAAAAAGCGGCCAGCCAAACAUCAACCCUAUCUUAACUCUUUGUCUGAAAAAUAUUAUGAAUAAAACAAUUCAAAUACAACUUUCAACAACGGAUCUCUUGGCUCUCGCAUCGAUGAAGAACGCAGCAUCUGACUGACUGAACUGUAUCUCAUC